AUUGAACGCUGGCGGCAGGCUUAACACAUGCAAGUCGAACGAGUGGCGGACGGGUGAGUAAUGCCUGGGAAUCUAGCUGAUGGAGGGGGAUAACUACGGGAAAAGGUAGCUAAUACCGCGUACCAUAGGAUGAGCCCAAGUGGGAGUAGGUAGGUGGUGAGGUAAAGGCUAACCAAGCCGACGACCCCUAGCUGGUCUGCGAGGAUGACCAGCCACAAUGGAACUGAGACACGGUCCAGACGCCGCCGGGAGGCAGCAGUGGGAAAUAUUGCGCAAUGGUGGCAAGCUGACGCAGCCAUGCCGCGUGAAUGAAUGAGGCCUUCGGGUUGUAAAGUACUUUCGGUUGGGAGGCGUUAACUACAGAAGAAGCACCGGCUAACUCCGUGCCAGCAGCCGCGGUAAUUC
RNAcentral lists this ribosomal RNA (405 nucleotides) under uncultured bacterium. Its description in RNAcentral is "partial 16S ribosomal RNA". It matches the Rfam family "Bacterial small subunit ribosomal RNA", at positions 29 to 526 of the family's 1533-position model. The record is from RNAcentral.